Molecule: ribosomal RNA, 467 nt
Filed under: uncultured bacterium
Lineage: Bacteria
Description: partial 16S ribosomal RNA
Rfam family: Bacterial small subunit ribosomal RNA
Source: RNAcentral
GACGAACGCUGGCGGCGUGCUUAACACAUGCAAGUCGAACGGAAAGGCCUCUUUCGGGGGGUACUCGAGUGGCGAACGGGUGAGUAACACGUGAGUAACCUGCCCUUGACUUUGGGAUAACUUCAGGAAACUGGGGCUAAUACCGGAUAGGAGCUCCUGCUGCAUGGUGGGGGUUGGAAAGUUUCGGCGGUUGGGGGUGGACUCGCGGCGUAUCAGCUUGUUGGUGGGGUAGUGGCUUACCAAGGCUUUGCCGGGUAGCCGGCCUGAGAGGGUGACCGGCCACAUUGGGACUGAGAUACGGCCCAGACUCCUACGGGAGGCAGCAGGGGGGAAUAUUGCCCGAUGGGUGGAAGCCUGAUGCAGCAACGCCGUGUGCGGGAUGACUGCCUUCGGGUUGUAAACCGCUUUCGCUCAUGACGAAGCUUUGUGUGACGGUAGUGGGUAAAGAAGCACCGGCUAACUACGUG